This is a long non-coding RNA of Culex pipiens pallens (northern house mosquito), 1633 nucleotides long. RefSeq lists it as uncharacterized. The record is from RefSeq and is a predicted model, not a curated record. Lineage: Eukaryota; Metazoa; Arthropoda; Insecta; Diptera; Culicidae. The transcript has 3 exons.
AAAAAAUAUUACUGUAAUGACAAAAGUAACUUACUCUCGAAAGAAAAGGUGGUCAAAAUUUGCUACAUUAAAAGUUUUUUUCUUGUUUUGAAAAUGAAAACUUUUACUGCUACAGUUUUUGAAAAUCUCAUUGCUUACUGAAUUAAAAGUUUUAACUUUUAAUUCGACUGUAUAAUUUCUUUCAUUUUGUCGUUCUCGUGUAACCGUCCACGCCUAAGUCCAAAAUGUAAACAAACGUUUAGGUGCAGGUGAUUUCGGUGGUUAGUGAGUGGUGGUUCACGACGGCAAUCAAUGCCGAGCGCGGCCACAGCCAGGACAUAAACCACGACUUGGACGCGGAAACCUUCGAAGGAGGAUGGUGCGAGUGCGGAACAAGUUUGGGGAUUUAGGGGAAAGUUGGUUUUCAAAAGGAUAAGGCCAGCUUCCUGCAGGACCUGCAGCUGUUUCACGACCGGAAUGGGACGCCGUUUAUGCGGUUGCCGAAGAUCGGAGGUCGGGAUGUGGAUUUGCACCGGUUGUAUUCCCGGGGUGGAACGGGGUGGGUAGACGAGAUUGAAGUUGAAGCAGAUUUGCAUCCGCUUUUUGAACAAGUACCAGUUAAUUUUAACGGUGAGGAGAAGGAUCCGACGGAAGAGGAAAACGACGAGAAGCGGCAUAAUCGGAGGUGGUCAGUGCGGAUGUUGCACUCGGUGCCGGCGGUUUAUGACCAUCAGCAGCAUUAUGUGCCGGAAGUGAUGACGGGUCAGUGUGGGAUGUCCUGAGGGUCAGCAGUCCAUUUCUCGUUACGGGGCAUGUUUAAUGAGUAUUACCUAAACAUCCGGAAGAACAGUUUGCACCAGUUCUGGAAGGACCGUCUGUACGAAAGCCGCAGGUCCUGGAACUGUCGUAAUCGGAUUACUUCCAGAGGUUGGAGCGAGAUCCGACGAACCUGAUCAAGAACAUCUACCUGGAAUACCGAAGAAGUCACCGCAACUCCCACCCGCAAACGCUCAUCUCGCGACGGCGCAGCUUCUUCCGGAUGAACUUUGACGGCGAGUUUGCAACAUCUGGGAGGACGAAGUGAUCGGGAACUAUCCUUUCAGGCCGAGUUUCAGGCGCUUCACUUCCCAGCCGGAAAACGUCGACUUCCCUUCCCGAAUCAACAACCAAUGGCCAAUUCCUCCAAGCCUGUCCAGAUGAUGGCCGGCAACGAGACCACCCUGUUCUCUACAUCGCUGUCGAGCUCCAAAAUGAAGGGCGCGAUGUUGCUGCCCUACGAAACGUCCAUCCGUAACCUGCUCAGCCUGGGGUCUUCGGACGCGGAAGUUGGCUAACCAUAAGCAGAUGCGUUAAAUACAACAAUAAAACGAAAACAUACUGUUUUAAUAUUAAAAUAUUGAAAUAAAAUCCAUCACAUUUUUCGAAAAUCAUCACUGUAAUGUUAAGUGUUAUUUAUUCUUGCCAUAAAAAGUUUUUUCUUAUAUGAAAAGUAAAAAACUUUUACCGAUACAACGAUUUUGUUCCAGAAAUGCAUGGUAGUAUCAAAAACUUUCCAACUUUUAAAUUAAAAAGUUUGAACUUUCUACGAAUAUUCACCAACGCGAACUUUUAAUCCAACGAACGAUCUUUUUAAAUUUAGAGUAUUUUUUCUUUG